GAUGAACGCUAGCUACAGGCUUAACACAUGCAAGUCGAGGGGAAACGAUAUUGGAAGCUUGCUUCCGAUAGGCGUCGACCGGCGCACGGGUGAGUAACGCGUAUCCAACCUGCCCAUCACUUGGGGAUAACCUUGCGAAAGUAAGACUAAUACCCAAUGAUAUCUCUAGAAGACAUCUGAAAGGGAUUAAAGAUUUAUCGGUGAUGGAUGGGGAUGCGUCUGAUUAGCUUGUUGGCGGGGUAACGGCCCACCAAGGCGACGAUCAGUAUGGGUUCUGACAGGAAGGUCCCCCACAGUGGAACUGAGAGACGGUCCACACUCCUACGGGAGGCAGCAGUGAGGAAUAGUGGUCAAUGGGCGAGAGCCUGAACCAGCCAAGUAGCGUGCAGGAUGACGGCCCUAUGGGUUGUAAACUGCUUUUAUAAGGGAAUAAAGUGGAAGUCGUGACUCCUUUUGCAUGUACCUUAUGAAUAAGGACCGGCUAAUUCCGUGCCAGCCGCCGCAGUAA
RNAcentral lists this ribosomal RNA (508 nucleotides) under uncultured bacterium. RNAcentral's name for it is "partial 16S ribosomal RNA". It matches the Rfam family "Bacterial small subunit ribosomal RNA", at positions 28 to 523 of the family's 1533-position model. The record is from RNAcentral.